CCUACGGGAGGCAGCAGUGGGGAAUAUUGCACAAUGGGGGAAACCCUGAUGCAGCGACGCCGCGUGAGUGAAGAAGGAUUUCGGGAUGUAAAGCUCUAUCAGCAGGGAAGAAAAUGACGGUACCUGACUAAGAAGCACCGGCCAACUACGUGCCAGCAGCCGCGGUAAUACGUAGGGGGCAAGCGUUAUCCGGAUUUACUGGGUGUAAAGGGAGCGUAGACGGCCAGACAAGUCAGAAGUUAAAGCGCAGGGCUCAACCCUGGUACUGCUUUUGAAACUGCCGGGCUGGAGUGCAGGAGAGGUAAGCGGAAUUCCUAGUGUAGCGGUGAAAUGCGUAGAUAUUACGAAGAACACCGGUGGCGAAGGCAGCUUACUGGACUGUAACUGACGUUGAGGCUCGAAAGCGUGGGUAGCAAACAGGAUUAGAUACCCCAGUAGUC
Molecule: ribosomal RNA, 440 nt
Filed under: uncultured bacterium
Lineage: Bacteria
Description: partial 16S ribosomal RNA
Rfam family: Bacterial small subunit ribosomal RNA
Source: RNAcentral